RNAcentral lists this ribosomal RNA (253 nucleotides) under uncultured bacterium. RNAcentral describes it as "partial 16S ribosomal RNA". It matches the Rfam family "Bacterial small subunit ribosomal RNA", at positions 524 to 776 of the family's 1533-position model. The record is from RNAcentral.
UACGAAGGGGGCUAGCGUUGUUCGGAAUUACUGGGCGUAAAGGGCGCGUAGGCGGCUCUGAUCGUCGGAUGUGAAAGGCCUGGGCUCAACCUGGGAAUGGCAUCCGAUACGGCGGGGCUGGAGUGUGGGAGAGGUUGGUGGAAUUCCCAGUGUAGAGGUGAAAUUCGUAGAUAUCGGGAGGAACACCGGUGGCGAAGGCGGCGACCUGGGACAAUACUGACGCUGAGGUGCGAAAGCGUGGGGAGCAAACAGG